RNAcentral lists this non-coding RNA (45 nucleotides) under Schistosoma curassoni. Lineage: Eukaryota; Metazoa; Platyhelminthes; Trematoda; Strigeidida; Schistosomatidae. The record is from RNAcentral.
AUUCAGCUGACGAGUCUCAAAUUGGACGAAACACGCGUCCUGGAU